GAUGAACGCUGGCGGUAUGCUUAACACAUGCAAGUCGAACGGACUCUUCGGAGUUAGUGGCGGACGGGUGAGUAACGCGUGAGAAUCUGGCUUUGGGUUCGGGACAACCACUGGAGACGGUGGCUAAUACCGGAUGUGCCGAGAGGUAAAAGAGAAAUUGCCUGAAGAUGAGCUCGCGUCUGAUUAGCUAGUUGGUGAGGUAAAGGCUCACCAAGGCAGCGAUCAGUAGCUGGUCUGAGAGGAUGACCAGCCACACUGGGACUGAGACACGGCCCAGACUCCUACGGGAGGCAGCAGUGGGGAAUUUUCCGCAAUGGGCGAAAGCCUGACGGAGCAAUACCGCGUGAGGGAAGAAGGCUCUUGGGUUGUAAACCUCUUUUCUUAGGGAAGAACAAAAUGACGGUACCUAAGGAAUCAGCAUCGGCUAACUCCGUG
This 435-nucleotide ribosomal RNA is filed under the name uncultured bacterium. RNAcentral's name for it is "partial 16S ribosomal RNA". It matches the Rfam family "Bacterial small subunit ribosomal RNA", at positions 28 to 507 of the family's 1533-position model. The record is from RNAcentral.